GAUGAACGCUGACAGAAUGCUUAACACAUGCAAGUCAACUUGAACUUCGGUUUGGGUGGCGGACGGGUGAGUAACGCGUAAAGAACUUGCCUCACAGAUAGGGACAACAUUUGGAAACGAAUGCUAAUACCUGAUAUUAUGAUUAUAUGGCAUCGUAUAAUUAUGAAAGCUAUAUGCGCUGUGAGAGAGCUUUGCGUCCCAUUAGCUAGUUGGAGAGGUAACGGCUCACCAAGGCGAUGAUGGGUAGCCGGCCUGAGAGGGUGAUCGGCCACAAGGGGACUGAGACACGGCCCUUACUCCUACGGGAGGCAGCAGUGGGGAAUAUUGGACAAUGGACCAAGAGUCUGAUCCAGCAAUUCUGUGUGCACGAUGAAGUUUUUCGGAAUGUAAAGUGCUUUCAGUUGGGAAGAAAAAAAUGACGGUACCAACAGAAGAAAUGGCGGCUAAAUACGU
This 453-nucleotide ribosomal RNA is filed under the name uncultured bacterium. RNAcentral's name for it is "partial 16S ribosomal RNA". It matches the Rfam family "Bacterial small subunit ribosomal RNA", at positions 28 to 506 of the family's 1533-position model. The record is from RNAcentral.